This 492-nucleotide ribosomal RNA is filed under the name uncultured bacterium. RNAcentral's name for it is "partial 16S ribosomal RNA". It matches the Rfam family "Bacterial small subunit ribosomal RNA", at positions 29 to 507 of the family's 1533-position model. The record is from RNAcentral.
AGUGAACGCUGGCGGUAGGCCUAACACAUGCAAGUCGAACGGCAACACAGUAAGAGCUUGCUCUUACGGGUGGCGAGUGGCGGACGGGUGAGGAAUACAUCGGAAUCUACUUUUUCGUGGGGGAUAACGUAGGGAAACUUACGCUAAUACCGCAUACGACCUACGGGUGAAAGCAGGGGAUCUUCGGACCUUGCGCGAUUGAAUGAGCCGAUGUCGGAUUAGCUAGUUGGCGGGGUAAAGGCCCACCAAGGUGACGAUCCGUAGCUGGUCUGAGAGGAUGAUCAGCCACACUGGAACUGAGACACGGUCCAGACUCCUACGGGAGGCAGCAGUGGGGAAUAUUGGACAAAGGGCGCAAGCCUGAUCCAGCCAUACCGCGUGGGUGAAGAAGGCCUUCGGGUUGUAAAGCCCUUUUGUUGGGAAAGAAAAGCAGCAGGUUAAUACCCCGCUGUUCUGACGGUACCCAAAGAAUAAGCACCGGCUAACUUCGUG